GAUGAACGCUGGCGGCGUGCCUAAUACAUGCAAGUCGAGCGAACAGACGAGGAGCUUGCUCCUCUGACGUUAGCGGCGGACGGGUGAGUAACACGUGGAUAACCUACCUAUAAGACUGGGAUAACUUCGGGAAACCGGAGCUAAUACCGGAUAAUAUAUUGAACCGCAUGGUUCAAUAGUGAAAGACGGUUUUGCUGUCACUUAUAGAUGGAUCCGCGCCGAAUUAGCUAGUUGGUAAGGUAACGGCUUACCAAGGCGACGAUGCGUAGCCGACCUGAGAGGGUGAUCGGCCACACUGGAACUGAGACACGGUCCAGACUCCUACGGGAGGCAGCAGUAGGGAAUCUUCCGCAAUGGGCGAAAGCCUGACGGAGCAACGCCGCGUGAGUGAUGAAGGUCUUCGGAUCGUAAAACUCUGUUAUUAGGGAAGAACAAAUGUGUAAGUAACUAUGCACGUCUUGACGGUACCUAAUCAGAAAGCCACGGCUAACUACGU
This 496-nucleotide ribosomal RNA is filed under the name uncultured bacterium. RNAcentral describes it as "partial 16S ribosomal RNA". It matches the Rfam family "Bacterial small subunit ribosomal RNA", at positions 28 to 506 of the family's 1533-position model. The record is from RNAcentral.